CAAUGUGCGAAAGCAUGAUAAGGGAACUCCGAGUGCCAGCAUCUAAUGCUGGCUGUCCUUGUGCCUAAAACGCACAAGAUAGCAAGGGCCGGGUAAGACCGGUGCCAGCCGCCGCGGUAACACCGGCGCCCGAGUGGUAGCCGCUAUUAUUGGGUCUAAAGGGUCCGUAGCCGGUUCGAUAAGUCCUCUGGGAAAUCUGGUUGCUUAACAAUCAGACUGCCAAGGGAUACUGUCGAACUUGAGACCGGGAGAGGUAAGAGGUACUUCAGGGGUAGGAGUGAAAUCUUGUAAUCCCUGGGGGACCAUCUGUGGCGAAGGCGUCUUACCAGAACGGGUCUGACGGUGAGGGACGAAAGCUGGGGGCGCAAACCGGAUUAGAUACCCGGGUAGUCCCAGCCGUAAACGAUGCUCGCUAUGCGUCAGGUACGGUGUGACCGUAUCUGGUGCCGUAGGGAAGCCGUGAAGCGAGCCACCUGGGAAGUACGGUCGCAAGACUGAAACUUAAAGGAAUUGGCGGGGGAGCACUACAACGGGUGGAGCCUGCGGUUUAAUUGGAUUCAACGCCGGA
This 568-nucleotide ribosomal RNA is filed under the name uncultured archaeon. Its description in RNAcentral is "bacterial SSU rRNA". It matches the Rfam family "Archaeal small subunit ribosomal RNA", at positions 353 to 922 of the family's 1478-position model. The record is from RNAcentral.